GAUGAUGACGAUGAUGAUGAACCGCAACCUAAAAGACUUAAAGAAUUAUAAUUCUUUUAAAGGUGCUUGUAUCCAAAGAUGCAUGUUGAAACAGCUAAGCGAAGCCAUGACUCCCAUGAUGAUGAGGAACCACUACAUGAAAGAUUUAAGAAACUCAAGCUCUCUUGACUUGCAAAUCAAGUCUUUCGCCCUUUGACUAUAUGCAGGUUGCAGAUUUGAUUAUAAAACCAUUGGUUAUUGUUCAGUUCAAGCCUUUUGUCUUUUUUUAGCUCAAAGGAGAAUGACAAGCUCAUCAAGCCCUUAAGUCUUGUUUAGCUUGGUUUUUGUUGAAGAAUUCAAUGUAGAAUCAAUUCAGACUUUCAGUUUGUGCUCUUUUCCAGAUUGUGUUAGUGACAUCGAUGUCCUUUUCCAUUGGAAAUUUUUUAUUUGAACAGGGGGAGAAGCUUCUCCCAUGCCGUUUUGUACAAAAUAAGAAUGAGAAGAAAAGCUAAAAUCAAUGAAAUGAAUGAAGGAUACAAGGCAUGACCCCUUUCUAUUCUUUGAGUCCUCCCUUUCUCUCAAGCUCUACCUAUCUUGAUACGUAUCACCUAGUAUCGGUUGUUUUAACAUUUAGCGUUUAUCCAUUUUUGCUAUCUAUUAGGGUGAAAUGUAAAGUUUGACAGGAAUUCUUUCCAUUAACUUCCAUGGUUCGCUUUCAGAUAGACCUUGUCUCAAAAUAAAUGUGUAAAGAAAGAAAGUUCAGUACAUAACUUACUAUCCUAUUGUCUCCAUUCUAAACCAUACACCGAUUCCUGAUCUGCCUGUGUGACCCUUAUCUCCCCUUAGUUUUUAUUCUUCCGAUGUAGGGCAUUUCAAACUUAAUUUUGUUUACCAUCAAUUUCGAUCACUUCU
Pistacia vera is the source of this 891-nucleotide long non-coding RNA. RefSeq lists it as uncharacterized. Lineage: Eukaryota; Viridiplantae; Streptophyta; Magnoliopsida; Sapindales; Anacardiaceae. The transcript has 3 exons. The record is from RefSeq and is a predicted model, not a curated record.